CCAUUGUUGAAUAUUAGAAAUAUUGCUGUUCUAGGUGAAGUAUUGCACAGCGUCAGUCAGAGACCCGUGUGCGUGCAUCAGUAUAACCACACACACAUACCAUCUCUGAGGACAAAGGAAGCAGGUUGUAUUCAACUUUAUUGAAGAGACAGAAUUUUUAAUGCAUUCUUACCGGUGCCCCAUGGAGACUACAUUUUUACCCCAGCCAUUUAAUUCAGCACAAAAGAAUAAUUUCCACAUCUUGUCCACCUCAACAAUCAUUGUGUGCAGUGGCUAAAAAGAUAUGUUGGGAAGUAAUAUGCUCUGGCCUGCUUCCAGCUAGUAGGAGCAACCAGGUCCUGUCAAUUAGCUGAGACCCCAUUUUACAUGGGCUGGCUCUUGAUAGGUUAACCCAGACUGGUAUGUAUCGCUCAUAACUGAUCUGGGGGAGACUGGAGCAGGCCCCAAGAUGUAGACCCUUCUCAGGCUUGACUCGGGUGGUUGGGCUACCUAGCGGUGUUAACAAAAACCACUUGGGUCUAGCAAGGUAAGUAUCCAGCCCCCCUGGGUCUACUUGGACAGCACGCAGGGUGUGGUGGUCUGGGGCCACAGACCUUAAAUGGUGCCCAAUUUUCUAUCGGUGAUUAGCACCACCCACACACCAGACCAUCUUGCACUACAUACGUGAAUCUGACUUACCAAAUCCAGUUUGGACUCUUUCAAAUUUCUUCACACCCCCUAAAUUGUCGAGUUCGAAUAG
This is a long non-coding RNA of Anguilla anguilla (European eel), 739 nucleotides long. RefSeq lists it as uncharacterized. NCBI's taxonomy places the organism in Eukaryota, Metazoa, Chordata, Actinopteri, Anguilliformes, Anguillidae. The transcript has 3 exons. The record is from RefSeq and is a predicted model, not a curated record.